Molecule: small nuclear RNA, 103 nt
Organism: Aotus nancymaae (Ma's night monkey)
Lineage: Eukaryota; Metazoa; Chordata; Mammalia; Primates; Aotidae
Source: Ensembl
GUACUUUCUAUGCAGCAUAUAUACAAAAAUUAGAAUGAUACAAAGAUUAGCAUGGCCCCUGCUCAAGGAUGACACGUAAGUCUAUGAAGGAUUUCGUAUUUUU